This 75-nucleotide transfer RNA is filed under the name Bacillota bacterium. Its description in RNAcentral is "tRNA-Cys". It matches the Rfam family "tRNA". From Rfam's summary of the family: Transfer RNA (tRNA) molecules are approximately 80 nucleotides in length. Their secondary structure includes four short double-helical elements and three loops (D, anti-codon, and T loops). Lineage: Bacteria; Bacillati; Bacillota. The record is from RNAcentral. RNAcentral also lists the same sequence under 1 other name.
GGUACCAUAGCCAAGUGGUAAGGCACGAGCCUGCAAAGCUCCGAUUCCCCGGUUCAAAUCCGGGUGGUACCUCCA